Molecule: ribosomal RNA, 250 nt
Filed under: uncultured bacterium
Lineage: Bacteria
Description: partial 16S ribosomal RNA
Rfam family: Bacterial small subunit ribosomal RNA
Source: RNAcentral
UAGGGAAUAUUGGUCAAUGGAGGCAACUCUGAACCAGCCAUGCCGCGUGCAGGAUGACUGCCCUAUGGGUUGUAAACUGCUUUUUUAAGGGAAUAAAACGCUCUUGCGAGAGUAACUGAAGGUACCUUAAGAAUAAGCCUCGGCUAACUACGUGCCAGCAGCCGCGGUAAUACGUAGGAGGCAAGCGUUGUCCGGAUUUAUUGGGUUUAAAGGGUGCGUAGGCGGCCUAAUAAGUCAGUGGUGAAAGCCG